UUAGGACGAAGUGACUGACACCACGCUUCCAGGAAAAGCCACUAAGCUUCAGCUGUAGAAAAACCGUACCGCAAACCGACACAGGUAGGCAGGGUGAGAAUCCCAAGGCGCUUGAGAGAACUCGGGUGAAGGAACUAGGCAAAAUGGCACCGUAACUUCGGGAGAAGGUGCGCCUCUUGGUGUGGUCACGUGCGUGACUGAGCAUCGAGGGGUCGCAGUAACCUGGCCGCUGCGACUGUUUAUCAAAAACACAGCACUCUGCAAACACGAAAGUGGACGUAUAGGGUGUGACGCCUGCCCGGUGCUGGAAGGUUAAUUGAUGGGGUCAGCCGCAAGGCGAAGCUCUUGAUCGAAGCCCCAGUAAACGGCGGCCGUAACAAUAACGGUCCUAAGGUAGCGAAAUUCCUUGUCGGGUAAGUUCCGACCUGCACGAAUGGCGUAAUGAUUUGGGCGCUGUCUCAACGAGGGGCACUGCGAAUUUGUGGUACCGGUGAAGACGCCGGUUGCCCGUGACUAGACGAAAAGACCCCGUGCACCUUUACUGCACCUUAGUAGUGAGUGUUGCCGUCGUCUGCGCAGGAUAGGUGGGAGGCUUUGAACCCGGGUUUUCGGAUUCGGGGGAGCCAAUGGUGAGAUACCACCCUGACGAUUGCGACGCUCUAACUUCGUUCUCUUAUCGAGAACAAGGACACUGCUAGGCGGGUAGUUUGACUGGGGCGGUCGCCUCCUAAACUGUAACGGAGGCGCGCGAAGGUUCGCUCAGGCUGUUUGGAAAUCAGCCAUAGAGUGCAAAAGCAUAAGCGAGCUUGACUGCGAGACUUACAAGUCGAGCAGGUGGGAAACCAGGCUUUAGUGAUCCGGUGGUUCCGCGUGGAAGGGCCAUCGCUCAACGGAUAAAAGGUACGCCGGGGAUAACAGGCUGAUCCUUGCCAAGAGUUCACAUCGACGCAAGGGUUUGGCACCUCGAUGUCGGCUCAUCACAUCCUGGAGCUGUAGCAGGUUCCAAGGGUUCGGCUGUUCGCCGAUUAAAGUGGUACGUGAGCUGGGUUUAGAACGUCGCGAGACAGUUCGGUCUCUAUCUGUCAUGGGCGCGGGAGAUUUGAGUGGAGCUGACCUUAGUACGAGAGGACCGGGUUGGACGCACCUCUAGUGUACGAGUUAUCACGCCAGUGGUAGCGCUCGGUAGCUAUGUGCGGGCACGAGAAACGCUGAAAGCAUCUAAGCGUGAAACGUUCCACGAGAUGAGAUCUCCCUAAGACGCAAGUCUUCUAAAGGCUCCUGGAAGAUGACCAGGUUAAUAGGUCGGGUGUGGAAGCGCUGUGAGGCGCGAAGCUUACCGAUACUAAUCAGCCGUGAGGCUUGAGCAC
RNAcentral lists this ribosomal RNA (1367 nucleotides) under metagenome. RNAcentral describes it as "bacterial LSU rRNA". It matches the Rfam family "Bacterial large subunit ribosomal RNA", at positions 1580 to 2925 of the family's 2925-position model. The record is from RNAcentral.